This is a non-coding RNA of Pyrenochaeta sp. MPI-SDFR-AT-0127, 106 nucleotides long. The record is from the annotation of a GenBank genome assembly. Lineage: Eukaryota; Fungi; Ascomycota; Dothideomycetes; Pleosporales; Cucurbitariaceae.
GUCUCGUUGGUGUAGUUGGUUAUCACGUGGGUCUCAUAACUACCAAAAUAUGACUGCUCUCAGAGUAGAUAUCCCAAGGCCGCCAGUUCGAGUCUGGCACGGGACA